GAACCUGCCUCAAAGAGGGGGACAACAGUUGGAAACGACUGCUAAUACCGCAUAAGCCCACGGCUCGGCAUCGAGCAGAGGGAAAAGGAGCAAUCCGCUUUGAGAUGGCCUCGCGUCCGAUUAGCUAGUUGGUGAGGUAACGGCCCACCAAGGCAACGAUCGGUAGCCGGACUGAGAGGUUGAACGGCCACAUUGGGACUGAGACACGGCCCAGACUCCUACGGGAGGCAGCAGUGGGGAAUAUUGCACAAUGGGGGAAACCCUGAUGCAGCGACGCCGCGUGGAGGAAGAAGGUCUUCGGAUUGUAAACUCCUGUUGUUGGGGAAGAUAAUGACGGUACCCAACAAGGAAGUGACGGCUAACUACGUGCCAGCAGCCGCGGUAAAACGUAGGUCACAAGCGUUGUCCGGAAUUACUGGGUGUAAAGGGAGCGCAGGCGGGAAGACAAGUUGGAAGUGAAAUCUAUGGGCUCAACCCAUAAACUGCUUUCAAAACUGUUUUUCUUGAGUAGUGCAGAGGUAGGCGGAAUUCCCGGUGUAGCGGUGGAAUGCGUAGAUAUCGGGAGGAACACCAGUGGCGAAGGCGGCCUACUGGGCACCAACUGACGCUGAGGCUCGAAAGUGUGGGUAGCAAACAGGAUUAGAUACCCUGGUAGUCCACACCGUAAACGAUGAUUACUAGGUG
Molecule: ribosomal RNA, 684 nt
Filed under: uncultured bacterium
Lineage: Bacteria
Description: bacterial SSU rRNA
Rfam family: Bacterial small subunit ribosomal RNA
Source: RNAcentral